AUGCACGCUGGCGGCGUGCCUAAUACAUGCAAGUCGCGCGAACAGACGAGGAGCUUGCUCCUCUGACGUUAGCGGCGGACGGGUGAGUAACACGUGGAUAACCUACCUAUAAGACUGGGAUAACUUCGGGAAACCGGAGCUAAUACCGGAUAAUAUAUUGAACCGCAUGGUUCAAUAGUGAAAGACGGUUUUGCUGUCACUUAUAGAUGGAUCCGCGCCGCAUUAGCUAGUUGGUAAGGUAACGGCUUACCAAGGCAACGAUGCGUAGCCGACCUGAGAGGGUGUUCGGCCACACUGGAACUGAGACACGGUCCAGACUCCUACGGGAGGCAGCAGUAGGGAAUCUUCCGCAAUGGGCGAAAGCUUGACGGAGCAACGCCGCGUGAGUGAUGAAGGUCUUCGGAUCGUAAAACUCUGUUAUUAGGGAAGAACAAAUGUGUAAGUAACUAUGCACGUCUUGACGGUACCUAAUCAGAAAGCCACGGCUAACUACGUG
RNAcentral lists this ribosomal RNA (496 nucleotides) under uncultured bacterium. Its description in RNAcentral is "partial 16S ribosomal RNA". It matches the Rfam family "Bacterial small subunit ribosomal RNA", at positions 29 to 507 of the family's 1533-position model. The record is from RNAcentral.